UACGUAGGGGGCAAGCGUUAUCCGGAUUUACUGGGUGUAAAGGGAGCGCAGGCGGCACGGCAAGUCAGAUGUGAAAACCCGGGGCCCAACCCCGGGCCUGCAUUUGAAACUGCCGGGCUAGAGUACAGGAGAGGCAGGCGGAAUUCCUAGUGUAGCGGUGAAAUGCGUAGAUAUUAGGAGGAACACCGGUGGCGAAGGCGGCCUGCUGGACUGUUAGGUAGCGGAAGCAAAUAGUUUGCGCAGAUGGCGC
This 250-nucleotide ribosomal RNA is filed under the name uncultured prokaryote. Its description in RNAcentral is "partial 16S ribosomal RNA". It matches the Rfam family "Bacterial small subunit ribosomal RNA", at positions 524 to 775 of the family's 1533-position model. The record is from RNAcentral.